Molecule: ribosomal RNA, 332 nt
Filed under: uncultured bacterium
Lineage: Bacteria
Description: partial 16S ribosomal RNA
Rfam family: Bacterial small subunit ribosomal RNA
Source: RNAcentral
CCUACGGGUGGCAGCAGUCGAGAAUCAUUCACAAUGGGGGAAACCCUGAUGGGGCGACGCCGCGUGGGGGAAGGAAGGUCUGCGGAUUGUAAACCCCUGUCAUGGGGGAGCAAAUUAAAAAGAGAGUACCACAAGAGGAAGAGACGGCGAACGCUGAGCCAGCAGCCGCGGUAAUACAGAGGCCUCAAGCGUUGUUCGGAAUCACUGGGCGUAAAGCGUGCGUAGGCUGUUUCGUAAGUCGUGUGUGAAAGGCGCGGGCUCAACCCGCGGACGGCACCUGAUACUGCUAGACUAGAGUAAUGGUGUGGGAACCGGCAUUCUCGGUGUAGCCG